CGAGCGGCUCUCUGGUCUGUACUGACGCUGAGGCGCGAAAGCAUGGGUAGCGAACAGGAUUAGAUACCCUGGUAGUCCAUGCCGUAAACGUUGAGUGCUAGGUGUUAGGGGGUCCAACCCUUAGUGCUGCAGUUAACGCAAUAAGCACUCCGCCUGGGGAGUACGGCCGCAAGGCUGAAACUCAAAGGAAUUGACGGGGGCCUGCACAAGCGGUGGAGCAUGUGGUUUAAUUCGACGCAACGCGAAGAACCUUACCAGGUCUUGACAUCUUCGGACAGCCCAAGAGAUUGGGUCUUCCCUUCGGGGACCGAAUGACAGGUGGUGCAUGGUUGUCGUC
This 337-nucleotide ribosomal RNA is filed under the name Alkalibacillus almallahensis. Its description in RNAcentral is "bacterial SSU rRNA". It matches the Rfam family "Bacterial small subunit ribosomal RNA", at positions 716 to 1056 of the family's 1533-position model. Lineage: Bacteria; Bacillati; Bacillota; Bacilli; Caryophanales; Bacillaceae. The record is from RNAcentral.